Molecule: long non-coding RNA, 260 nt
Filed under: Mytilus galloprovincialis (Mediterranean mussel)
Lineage: Eukaryota; Metazoa; Mollusca; Bivalvia; Mytilida; Mytilidae
Source: RNAcentral
CAAAAGACUCAUCAGUGACGCUCGAAUCCAAAAAAGUUAAAAAGGCCAAAAAAAGUACGAAGUUGAAGAGCAUUGAGGACCAAAAUUCCUAAAAGUUGUGCCAAAUACAGCUAAGGUAAUCUAUGCCUGAGGUAGAAAAGCCUUAGUAUUUCAUAAAAUUCAAAAAUUUGUAAACAAUAAAUUUAUAAAUAUAACCAUAUCAAUGACAAUUCAUGUCAGCACAAAAAGUGCUGACUACUGGGCUUGUGAUACCCUCGGGG